UGCAGUCGAACGCAGUAGCAAUACUGAGUGGCAAACGGGUGAGUAUAAUGUGGGAAUCUGCCUUUUGGUUUGGAAUAACACGGGGAAACUUGUGCUAAUACCGAAUAAGCCCUUACGGGGAAAGUUUUAACGCCGAAAGAUGAGCCUGCACUUGAUUAGCUAGUUGGUAAGGUAAAGGCUUACCAAGGCUACGAUCAAUAGCUGUUCUUAGAGGAAGACCAGCCACAUUGGGACUGAGACACGGCCCAGACUCCUACGGGAGGCAGCAGUGGGGAAUCUUGCACAAUGGGGGAAACCCUGAUGCAGCGAUGCCGCGUGAGUGAAGAAGGCCCUUGGGUUGUAAAACUCUUUCGUCGGGGAAGAAAAUGACUGUACCCGAAUAAGAAGGUCCGGCUAACUUCGUGCCAGCAGCCGCGGUAAUACGAAGGGACCUAGCGUAGUUCGGAAUUACUGGGCUUAAAGAGCUCGUAGGUGGUUAAAAAAGUUGAUGGUGAAAUCCCAAGGCUCAACCUUGGAACUGCCAUCAAAACUUUUUAGCUAGAGUGUGAUAGAGGUAAGUGGAAUUUCUAGUGUAGAGGUGAAAUUCGUAGAUAUUAGAAAGAACACCAAAUGCGAAGGCAACUUACUGGGUCACUACUGACACUGANGAGCGAAAGCAUGGGUAGCGAAGAGGAUUAGAUACCCUCGUAGUCCAUGCCGUAAACGAUGUGUGCUAGACGUUGGAAAUAUAUUUUUCAGUGUCGCAGCGAAAGCAUUAAGCACACCGCCNGGGGAGUACGACCGCANGGUUAAAACUCAAAUGAAUUGACGG
Molecule: ribosomal RNA, 811 nt
Filed under: uncultured bacterium
Lineage: Bacteria
Description: bacterial SSU rRNA
Rfam family: Bacterial small subunit ribosomal RNA
Source: RNAcentral